Malus domestica (apple) is the source of this 453-nucleotide non-coding RNA. The record is from RefSeq and is a predicted model, not a curated record. Lineage: Eukaryota; Viridiplantae; Streptophyta; Magnoliopsida; Rosales; Rosaceae.
AUCCCUCCCAACGCCAUUAAUGUUCACCAAACCCUUACACCGUACUAAAAAAAACGAAACCUCCAUUGCUGCAAACGUCAAGUUCUCAAAGCGUUUUCAAGUUCGAUUCAAGUUUUCAAGCAAUAAUCUACACAUCAAAUCCGGAAUUUCUCAACCCACAAACUACAUUUGAGGACGAAAAACUGAAAACAUUCGAUCUGUACGUUUGCAGAGUCGAAAUCGGACAAACACAGUUCACAGUUCUGAUUUGCAUCCAGACGAAAACACACAAAAAAUUUGCGAAAUAAAAGCAACAGAGAAGAAACAGAGAUGGACGGAACAAAGAAACUAAGAAUAAAGACUUUCGCUGUAAAGAGUCCACGUAAGAUAGAGAAUAUAAGACCAGCAACUUCUUAUGUUCAAUAUAGAUGCAACGUUUUCGGGUUUGCAAAUGCAAUGCAAUUGUACAGACCA